Molecule: ribosomal RNA, 253 nt
Filed under: uncultured bacterium
Lineage: Bacteria
Description: partial 16S ribosomal RNA
Rfam family: Bacterial small subunit ribosomal RNA
Source: RNAcentral
UACGUAGAGUGCAAGCGUUAUCCGGAAUUAUUGGGCGUAAAGAGCUCGUAGGCGGUUUGUCGCGUCUGCUGUGAAAACUGGAGGCUCAACCUCCAGCCUGCAGUGGGUACGGGCAAACUAGAGUGCGGUAGGGGAGAUUGGAAUUCCUGGUGUAGCGGUGGAAUGCGCAGAUAUCAGGAGGAACACCGAUGGCGAAGGCAGAUCUCUGGGCCGUAACUGACGCUGAGGAGCGAAAGCGUGGGGAGCGAACAGG